UCAAGUGUUUGAUGUUUGAAUGCUGUACUUGAUUGGUUGGAGAAUUUUCUUAUCUCCAUAUAGAAAACUCGUCCAAAAGGAGGCUUCAUUCUCUUCUUCUCCCCAAAACUAUGUCCUCUCUCAACCCAGAUCCUUGUCUGCCCCUUCUUCUCUGUGUCUCACCCUUAUUUUUUGGGGCUGCUUCUCAGUCUGUUGUUCUGAUUUUGGUUAGAUCUCCCACCUUUGGACCAUUGUUGUAUGUAUUCUUGAUGGGGUUUGGUGGUAGAUCUAGGUAGAUCUCCUUUGGAUCUCUUUCAUGAUUAGUUUUUUUUUUUUUGGUGCAAAAAUUUCAACUGAUUUGCUUGUUGAUAGUUGUCGUUCUUGCAGUGUUCAGGUAGGAUUGUUUAUCACAGAACUUAGAGCAAUGGCUCUUGCCAAAGGUAGGAUUGUUUAUCACAGAGCUUAGAGUAAUGGCUCCCUCCUGCUAAAGGUACGAUUGUUUAUCACAGAGCUUAGAGCAAUGGCUCCCUCCUGCUAAAGG
This is a long non-coding RNA of Prunus persica (peach), 520 nucleotides long. RefSeq lists it as uncharacterized. The transcript has 3 exons. The record is from RefSeq and is a predicted model, not a curated record. Lineage: Eukaryota; Viridiplantae; Streptophyta; Magnoliopsida; Rosales; Rosaceae.